Molecule: ribosomal RNA, 406 nt
Filed under: uncultured bacterium
Lineage: Bacteria
Description: partial 16S ribosomal RNA
Rfam family: Bacterial small subunit ribosomal RNA
Source: RNAcentral
AUUGAACGCUGGCGGCAAGCCUAACACAUGCAAGUCGAGCGAGCGGCGGACGGGUGAGUAAUGUCUGGGAAACUGCCUGAUGGAGGGGGAUAACUACUGGAAACGGUAGCUAAUACCGCAUACCAUCAGAUGUGCCCAGAUGGGAUUAGCUGGUUGGUGGGGUAACGGCUCACCUAGGCGCCGAUCCCUAGCUGGUCUGAGAGGAUGACCAGCCACACUGGAACUUAGACACGGUCCAGACUCCUACGGGAGGCAGCAGUGGGGAAUAGUGCACAAUGGGCGCAAGCCUGAUGCAGCCAUGCCGCGUGUGUGAAGAAGGCCUGCGGGUUGUAAAGCACUUUCAGCGGGGAGGCGUUACCCGCAGAAGAAGCACCGGCUAACUCCGUGCCAGCCGCCGCGGUAAUUC